RNAcentral lists this long non-coding RNA (1267 nucleotides) under Cyanistes caeruleus (blue tit). RNAcentral's name for it is "lncRNA (ENSCCEG00000003302.1)". Lineage: Eukaryota; Metazoa; Chordata; Aves; Passeriformes; Paridae. The record is from RNAcentral.
GCUUUGUGACACCCCAGUGGUGGCUUCUGGAGGCCAACAUUUCGGCGCCCAACGGCUCUCAGCCGGAGACGGAGCCGUGCGGCGAUGGUUGGACCUACGACCGCAGCGUCUUCACCAGCACCAUCAUCACUGAGGUGGGACGGGGAGGGGAGAGGUUUGGGGGGGUCUGGUGGGAUUUUCACCCAAUUCCAUGGGUGGGUCCCACCUAGAGGCACCAACGAAGGGUCUGCUGCCAACACAACACUGACCUCUCCGAGCUGGAGCAACUUCUCCGCUCACCCUCCAGUGGAGAUGCUCAGGAAGCCCCAGGAGGGGAAGGAAGGGAUGGAGAAUUGGUGGCCAUCAACAAGGAGGUCACAAGAGGGUCACAAGGGAGUCACAAGGGGUCACAAGGGGGUCACAAGGGGUCACAAGGGGGUCACAGGGUCCUUGCAUGGACCUUCCAGCCAUGGUGAUGAUGGGAAGGGUGGCCAAGCAUUCAGUGUCACCUCUCCAUUGGCCACUCAUUGACCUUACCGGCCACCAUGGGUGAUUUUGGGGUUCGGGAGGCCAGAGGGGACCCUGAUCUCUGUCCCACGCCGUGUCCUUGUCCCUCGGCAGUGGGACCUGGUGUGCAGCUCCCGGGGGCUCAGGCAGCUGGCGCAGUCACUCUACAUGGCUGGAGUCCUGGUGGGCGGCGUCUUCGGGGGGCUCUCGGACAGGUUUGGCCGCCGCUUGGUGCUCACCUGGUGCUACCUGCAGAUGGCCGCCAUGGGCACCUGCUCGUCCUUCGCGCCCACCUUCACCGUCUACUGCCUGUUCCGCUUCCUGACGGGCAUGGCCUUCUCGGGCAUCGUCCUCAACAGCGUCUCCCUCUCGCUGGAGUGGAUGCCGACACACAUGCGGGCACUGGUGGGGACCUUCAUGGGGUACUGCUACACCGCCGGGCAGUUCCUGCUGGCCGGCGUCGCCUUCGCCAUCCCUGACUGGCGCCAGCUGCAGCUCGCGGUGUCCCUGCCCUUCUUCGGCUUCUUCCUCUACUCCUGGUGAGGAGGAGGAAGGGUGAGGGAUGGAGGAAUGGAGGGAUGGAGGGAUGGAUGAUGGAUGGAUGAUGGAUGGAUGGAUGAAUGAUGGAUGAUGGAUGGAUGAUGGAUGAUGGAUGAUGGGUGAGGGAUGGAGGAAUGGAGGGAUGGAGGGAUGGAUGAUGGAUGGAUGAUGGAUGGAUGGAUGAUGGAUGAUGGAUGGAUGAUGGAUGGAUGGAUGAUGGAUGGAUGGAUGAUGGAUGAUG